RNAcentral lists this ribosomal RNA (1372 nucleotides) under uncultured bacterium. RNAcentral describes it as "bacterial SSU rRNA". It matches the Rfam family "Bacterial small subunit ribosomal RNA", at positions 28 to 1381 of the family's 1533-position model. The record is from RNAcentral.
GAUGAACGCUGGCGGCGUGCCUAAUACAUGCAAGUCGAGCGAACGGACGAGAAGCUUGCUUCUCUGAUGUUAGCGGCGGACGGGUGAGUAACACGUGGAUAACCUACCUAUAAGACUGGGAUAACUUCGGGAAACCGGAGCUAAUACCGGAUAAUAUUUUGAACCGCAUGGUUCAAAAGUGAAAGACGGUCUUGCUGUCACUUAUAGAUGGAUCCGCGCUGCAUUAGCUAGUUGGUAAGGUAACGGCUUACCAAGGCAACGAUGCAUAGUCGACCUGAGAGGGUGAUCGGCCACACUGGAACUGAGACACGGUCCAGACUCCUACGGGAGGCAGCAGUAGGGAAUCUUCCGCAAUGGGCGAAAGCCUGACGGAGCAACGCCGCGUGAGUGAUGAAGGUCUUCGGAUCGUAAAACUCUGUUAUUAGGGAAGAACAUAUGUGUAAGUAACUGUGCACAUCUUGACGGUACCUAAUCAGAAAGCCACGGCUAACUACGUGCCAGCAGCCGCGGUAAUACGUAGGUGGCAAGCGUUAUCCGGAAUUAUUGGGCGUAAAGCGCGCGUAGGCGGUUUUUUAAGUCUGAUGUGAAAGCCCACGGCUCAACCGUGGAGGGUCAUUGGAAACUGGAAAACUUGAGUGCAGAAGAGGAAAGUGGAAUUCCAUGUGUAGCGGUGAAAUGCGCAGAGAUAUGGAGGAACACCAGUGGCGAAGGCGACUUUCUGGUCUGUAACUGACGCUGAUGUGCGAAAGCGUGGGGAUCAAACAGGAUUAGAUACCCUGGUAGUCCACGCCGUAAACGAUGAGUGCUAAGUGUUAGGGGGUUUCCGCCCCUUAGUGCUGCAGCUAACGCAUUAAGCACUCCGCCUGGGGAGUACGACCGCAAGGUUGAAACUCAAAGGAAUUGACGGGGACCCGCACAAGCGGUGGAGCAUGUGGUUUAAUUCGAAGCAACGCGAAGAACCUUACCAAAUCUUGACAUCCUUUGACAACUCUAGAGAUAGAGCCUUCCCCUUCGGGGGACAAAGUGACAGGUGGUGCAUGGUUGUCGUCAGCUCGUGUCGUGAGAUGUUGGGUUAAGUCCCGCAACGAGCGCAACCCUUAAGCUUAGUUGCCAUCAUUAAGUUGGGCACUCUAAGUUGACUGCCGGUGACAAACCGGAGGAAGGUGGGGAUGACGUCAAAUCAUCAUGCCCCUUAUGAUUUGGGCUACACACGUGCUACAAUGGACAAUACAAAGGGCAGCGAAACCGCGAGGUCAAGCAAAUCCCAUAAAGUUGUUCUCAGUUCGGAUUGUAGUCUGCAACUCGACUACAUGAAGCUGGAAUCGCUAGUAAUCGUAGAUCAGCAUGCUACGGUGAAUACGUUCCCGGGUCU